Long non-coding RNA from Helianthus annuus (common sunflower), 836 nucleotides. RefSeq lists it as uncharacterized. The transcript is spliced from 3 exons. The record is from RefSeq and is a predicted model, not a curated record. Lineage: Eukaryota; Viridiplantae; Streptophyta; Magnoliopsida; Asterales; Asteraceae.
AUUCUAGGGUUUAUGAAUUUCAAAACGACGACGUUCUAGGGUUUAUGAUUGUGACUACUUUUUUAAAUCACUCUGCUGUUUUGCGGGUGCUGAUUUUAUUUUAAAUAUUGUUGAUUGAUUUGAGUAUUUGAUGAUAAUUUUUUAGGUUCCUAUUCUGACUCAUUCAACGGUUAAAUGGGUUCAAGCGAAUUUGUUAGUUCGGUUUCGUGGGAUGAUACAAGAUAUGUUAGGAAAUGAAUGCUAUGUUGGUCCUUAUAAGAAUGAAGGCACAUGGAAUAGCAACAAAUUCACAGAUAUUUCUCAAUUUCCCAUGGGUCAUUCACAGAUAUUUACAGUUUCCCAGUUACACUCAAUUAAGGUUUUGUUUAAGCAGUCCCUUAUAUCUGUAGAAACAGUAAAAGCAAUUGCCAAAACAAGUAGAUCAUUGAUACAGAAUGGUAAUUGUCAGUGGACUGAGAAUCUGUCAGUGUACAUUUGGGUUCCUCAUGAUGAUGCUUCAAAACGGCACGGGCAAAGCCUGCAUAAGCUUCUUAUUUCCUAUGUUUUGCAUUUCCAUCUCAUGUUUUUAAUUAAGUUUGAAUUUGAUUACAUAUAUGUUCGCUGACAUGCUUCUUGUGGUCUAUUAUUAUUUCACUAAUAAUGUAUUGUUAUGUUGUGUGGCAGGGGUCUGGUAGAUCAGGCAUCCUUGGAGAAGUUACAGUAAAUUUGUCAAGUCACUUGAGUUCUGAGACUUCGACUACUGUUGCGGAACCACUAAAAAACUGUAGUUAUGGGACAAUCUUACAGGUUUCGUAAACAUGAGGCUUCUGAUGCAUUGACAAGUACAAGAUCCACAG